GUUCUUACUUACAACAAGGUCUCUCUCUCUCUCUUUGGAGCCCUCAGUAAUCGAUUCGAUUAAUGAACGGCAAGAAAAUGAGGCAGGGUCUGGUUUAGGUCUUGUAUGCAGCAAAUGAACAAUACUGGAAACAAAAAGGGAGUUAAAACCAUAGAUGAAACUCAGAUCAGUGACAGCAGGGCAGCCUGACUCUCGGUUAUCUCCUCUCCAGAACCCUGUUGUUUCCCAGAUUGAUGGUGCAUUUCCAGGCUGACUACAGAUUGCUCUGAGGAGUCAGGCCAAACAGAUGAGGUCAUUCAGGAAAGACAACAUAUUUAAACUAGGAAUUAGCCCAUUAAGGAAUUUCAAACAUGAUUCCCUGAGCUUGAAGUGAAUUCUGGCUCCCAAAGAAAGCUUACUGUCUUUCUCAUGGAAAACAUAAAAUGCCUAAAUGCUAUUCUCUGAAAUCAGUAAUGAGAACCUUAAUGAUGAAAUAAACACACCCUCCUUAACUCAGUCAUAAUAAGCAUUUUUAUUAUGUCUUGUAUUUUCACAUGCAUUUUCUAGCGAUUGAUACUAUAGAAAAAACAGUUUUGAAAAUGUGUGUUAAGAAAAGACAGCUGAACAUUUUAUCAAAACAAAUUUAGUACACCACAUUGACAGAACUUAUAGUCAGCAUGUGACCAGAUUGGAGUGCAGGCUGUCUAAAUGAAACCAAAAUAAAAUGGCUUAUCAUAGUUACCAUAGUAACGUCAUUAACCUGCCUGUCCAAAUAUAUUUUAGCUGUCUCAAAUUACUUUAUUGGAAUCGGACACAUUGCUAAAUAAUUAAUUUUCUCGUCAUUCUUUAAAUAUUGCAUGCACUAAAAUAAAAAUGUGUCCCUCAGCACAUUAAAAAAGAUUAGUGCCAGACUAAUUAGGCAUCAGUCAUAAUCGGUCCUCUGAAAGUAGGCUAUGGUAAAAUUAUUUCCAGCUGACUAGCAGUAUCCUCAAGGGACCGUACAAUUCUAUGUUUCUGAUCAAGUUGGAGAUCUUAAGGGGAAAAACCUUCACAAUUGCA
Polyodon spathula (Mississippi paddlefish) is the source of this 1038-nucleotide long non-coding RNA. RefSeq lists it as uncharacterized. The transcript is spliced from 3 exons. Lineage: Eukaryota; Metazoa; Chordata; Actinopteri; Acipenseriformes; Polyodontidae. The record is from RefSeq and is a predicted model, not a curated record.